RNAcentral lists this ribosomal RNA (2064 nucleotides) under Bacteroides zoogleoformans. RNAcentral's name for it is "bacterial SSU rRNA". The stretch from base 535 to 2062 matches the Rfam family "Bacterial small subunit ribosomal RNA". Lineage: Bacteria; Pseudomonadati; Bacteroidota; Bacteroidia; Bacteroidales; Bacteroidaceae. The record is from RNAcentral.
CGUUUGAUUAUUUUUUUUCAUUUUUCUCGGAAAAAAGUUCCCCGUAUAUUUUGCCGUAUUUCCCAUAAGCUCUACUUUUGCAUCCGCUUUCGGCAACGGGGGCAUGUGCGCUUUGACAUGAUGGUUUGCGAGAUGCUGCAAGCGGCUUUCGUUUCCCUUUAUUCUCCUCCCCUUUCGCAGAGAGAGCGUGUGGCGGUAAAUAAAAAAGGGAAAAAAACUUCUCCGAUAAUUUGGAGUAUAUUGCUAAAAGUGCUUACCUUUGCAUCCGCUUUCCCUUAGAGGUCAGCGCCGUCGAUCUUUGAACAGAUUUACAUAAACAAUACAAGUAGUACAAGAUCAAGAUUCGUUUUCCGUUCAUUCGGAAGGCGUUCUUGGGUAAAACAGAAGAACCGUCAAUGCCCCCUUGCUUAUUCGCUCGGGGGAUUGAACAUUGAGACUUCUUUAGAAUUUCGGAUGUCCUGAACAGAGCAACAUGCCCUCCUUUUUCCCAUUUUCUUCGGGAUUUGGGUUUAAGUGAGAGCACACGAUACUUUUACAAUGAAGAGUUUGAUCCUGGCUCAGGAUGAACGCUAGCUACAGGCUUAACACAUGCAAGUCGAGGGGCAGCAUGGACUUAGCUUGCUAAGUCCGAUGGCGACCGGCGCACGGGUGAGUAACACGUAUCCAACCUUCCGGUUACUCCGGUAUAGCCUUUCGAAAGAAAGAUUAAUCCCGGAUAGUAUGGUGAUUCCGCAUGGUUUCUCCAUUAAAGGAUUCCGGUAACCGAUGGGGAUGCGUUCCAUUAGGCGGUUGGCGGGGUAACGGCCCACCAAACCUACGAUGGAUAGGGGUUCUGAGAGGAAGGUCCCCCACAUUGGAACUGAGACACGGUCCAAACUCCUACGGGAGGCAGCAGUGAGGAAUAUUGGUCAAUGGGCGUAAGCCUGAACCAGCCAAGUAGCGUGAAGGAUGACUGCCCUAUGGGUUGUAAACUUCUUUUAUAAGGGAAUAAAUUGAGGCACGCGUGCCUUUUUGCAUGUACCUUAUGAAUAAGGAUCGGCUAACUCCGUGCCAGCAGCCGCGGUAAUACGGAGGAUCCGAGCGUUAUCCGGAUUUAUUGGGUUUAAAGGGAGCGUAGGCGGGCGCUUAAGUCAGCUGUGAAAGUUUGGGGCUCAACCUUAAAAUUGCAGUUGAUACUGGGCGUCUUGAGUGCGGCACAGGCAGGCGGAAUUCGUGGUGUAGCGGUGAAAUGCUUAGAUAUCACGAGGAACUCCGUUCGCGAAGGCGGCUUGCCGGACCGUAACUGACGCUGAUGCUCGAAAGUGUGGGUAUCAAACAGGAUUAGAUACCCUGGUAGUCCACACGGUAAACGAUGAAUACUCGCUGUUUGCGAUAUACAGUAAGCGGCCAAGCGAAAGCGUUAAGUAUUCCACCUGGGGAGUACGCCGGCAACGGUGAAACUCAAAGGAAUUGACGGGGGCCCGCACAAGCGGAGGAACAUGUGGUUUAAUUCGAUGAUACGCGAGGAACCUUACCCGGGCUUGAAUUGCAACCGAAUUACCUUGAAAGGGGUAAGCCGCAAGGCGGUUGUGAAGGUGCUGCAUGGUUGUCGUCAGCUCGUGCCGUGAGGUGUCGGCUUAAGUGCCAUAACGAGCGCAACCCUUAUCGACAGUUACCAUCGGGUCAUGCCGGGGACUCUGUCGAGACUGCCGUCGUAAGAUGCGAGGAAGGGGGGGAUGACGUCAAAUCAGCACGGCCCUUACGUCCGGGGCUACACACGUGUUACAAUGGGGGGUACAGCAAGCCGCCCGGCGGCGACGCCCGGCCAAUCCUAAAAACCCCUCUCAGUUCGGACUGGAGUCUGCAACCCGACUCCACGAAGCUGGAUUCGCUAGUAAUCGCGCAUCAGCCACGGCGCGGUGAAUACGUUCCCGGGCCUUGUACACACCGCCCGUCAAGCCAUGAAAGCCGGGGGUACCUGAAGUGCGUAACCGUAAAGGAGCGCCCUAGGGUAAAACCGGUGAUUGGGGCUAAGUCGUAACAAGGUAGCCGUACCGGAAGGUGCGGCUGGAACACCUCCUUUCU